This 641-nucleotide long non-coding RNA is filed under the name Chinchilla lanigera (long-tailed chinchilla). RNAcentral's name for it is "lncRNA (ENSCLAG00000024682.1)". Lineage: Eukaryota; Metazoa; Chordata; Mammalia; Rodentia; Chinchillidae. The record is from RNAcentral.
CAGGAAUUGAACUCAGGACCUUGCAAUUGCCAUGAAGGUGCUUGUGCCACUGAGCUAUAUCCCCACCCAGGCUGAAGUAGAAUUUGAGAUCUGAGGUGUUUUUAUGUUUUGAAAACUAGUUUCUUCUAAUAGAGCUGACUGCGAGGUCUCUGAAGUAAGGGGAUUCACAACGGAGUUCUUACAAGAGGUCCUUGAACCAUCUGGAUGGUGGGCAGUCUGGCCCACUAAUGUGCUUGAGGUACUGGUUGAGGUUACAGGCGUGGACUUUUCCCCUCGAAGGCAUCACUCGGGCUUGCCAAGCUGUGUGUCUGUGAAUUUGAAGUGAGCGCUUUUACCUUGGAGUAUAUGAAAGAGCUCCUCGAUCUGAAGGAGUAUCAGUUGCCUCUGCAGGCAUCGUGGGUGGUGUUUGAUGAUUCGAGGGGGUUUGAUCAGACAGCUCUUGCAACUGUCAGCACUUUCCAGCCAGGAAUGGUGGUGCACACCUGUAAUCCCAGCACUCGAAAGGCUGAGGCAAGAGGAGCACUGUGAGUUCAAGACCAGCCUGGGCUAUAAGUGAGUUCAAGGCCAGCCUGAACUGCAUAGUGAGACCCUGUCUCAAAAAAUAAAAUAAAAUAAAAGCACUUUCCAGUUUUUAUACCAUU